Molecule: ribosomal RNA, 253 nt
Filed under: uncultured bacterium
Lineage: Bacteria
Description: partial 16S ribosomal RNA
Rfam family: Bacterial small subunit ribosomal RNA
Source: RNAcentral
UACGGGGGGGGUAAGCGUUGUUCGGAAUUACUGGGCGUAAAGGGCUCGUAGGCGGCCAACUAAGUCAGACGUGAAAUCCCUCAGCUUAACUGGGGAACUGCGUCUGAUACUGGAUGGCUUGGAUUCGGGAGAGGAAUGCGGAAUUCCAGGUGUAGCGGUGAAAUGCGUAGAUAUCUGGAGGAACACCGGUGGCGAAGGCGGCAUCCUGGACCGACACUGACGCUGAGGAGCGAAGGCGUGGGGAGCGAACGGG